ACUCCUACGGGAGGCAGCAGUGGGGAAUCUUCCGCAAUGGACGCAAGUCUGACGGAGCAACGCCGCGGGAGUGAUGACGGCCUUCGGGUUGUAAAGCUCUUUAAUCGGGACGAAUGGUUCUUGUGUGAAUAGUGCGAGGAAUGACGUACCG
RNAcentral lists this ribosomal RNA (151 nucleotides) under uncultured Veillonella sp. RNAcentral's name for it is "partial 16S ribosomal RNA". It matches the Rfam family "Bacterial small subunit ribosomal RNA", at positions 335 to 480 of the family's 1533-position model. Lineage: Bacteria; Bacillati; Bacillota; Negativicutes; Veillonellales; Veillonellaceae. The record is from RNAcentral.